GCCUACUUAUUUUCUUUCUCUUCAUUCUAUUCCAGUGGAGGUGGUCGAUUGAGAAGCUACAGAGAGAUUUUCUUUGGAGUGGCAUUGAUAAGAUGUACUUUUAUACAUUGCUAAAAGUAUAAUCAAACUUAGCUAAUCAGAGUUGUUAGAUUGCUGAAUAAAUUGUCAAUCUUUGAUGUUUAUCAAUGCCACCUCCAAGAGGGCUAAGACCUUGGGAAUGGUUGAAUUCCCAAUACUAGGCCGCAUCAGUAAACUUGCUAUUUCCUGGGAUUCUUUGAUUUGGUUUUGAUUAUGGAAUCUAUAGCAAUGUAUAGAUCUUCUGAAGUUGGAUAUGUGACUAUUAUGUACCUCUCUACAAGAUCUAAAUGAAGCUACAAGAAAGUUGAUUUGGAAGAUAGUAUAUGACAAGGCUUUGCAUCUACUACGUUAAUAGAUAUGGUCUUUUCCAUAUUUCAAUUUCCUUUGAUUGAUAUGGAUUAAAAUUCAGAUUGAAAUUGGUUUAAAUAGAACAGAGCCUCAAAGUUGAGUUUUUAUUAUAUUGUUUCAUUGUUUGCUCUGUUU
This is a long non-coding RNA of Quercus robur (English oak), 561 nucleotides long. RefSeq lists it as uncharacterized. NCBI's taxonomy places the organism in Eukaryota, Viridiplantae, Streptophyta, Magnoliopsida, Fagales, Fagaceae. The record is from RefSeq and is a predicted model, not a curated record. The transcript is spliced from 4 exons.